This is a non-coding RNA of Pelobates cultripes (western spadefoot toad), 121 nucleotides long. The record is from the annotation of a GenBank genome assembly. NCBI's taxonomy places the organism in Eukaryota, Metazoa, Chordata, Amphibia, Anura, Pelobatidae.
GUCUGUGUUUGUAUGUGCCGGUGUGUGUAUCUUUGUGUCAGUGUGUAUGAAUUUGACACACAGAUACACAAACUAGCACAUAGUGGCACACAGAUACACACACCGUGACACACAGUGUGUG